AAUUCAUCAGGAAGAUUGUGUACUUCCAUUAGCCUCGACAGCUGGUUCCGCUGACGCCUGGAUGUCAUAAAAAGUGUUGUUAGAGUGAUACAUUUCUCAUGGAGAGUGCAUGGGUACAUGGAAGAAAUACUGCUGUGAACCAGGAAUUUCCUCUGCCUUCUACCAGCCAGUCCCUUUUGCUGACAGACGCUGUAGAGGGUCCUUUGUGGAGUGGAGACCAUUAGAGCAGGACUCUGUGCAGGAUCCAAAAAAUGUUAUCCGUACUUCCUACAAGGGACUUUAUUGAAGCAGAUGACAUCUUUCAAACCAGAAGAAGCAUUUUAAGUUCAAGUGCUACAUUUUGGUCUGAGGCAGGUGAUUACUUUUAUAAAUCAGCUGUAAAAGGUAAUCCUGAAAGCUCUCCAUAAAUAAUAACCAGGACUGAAAAUUUCUGUGUAGUGUGUGUGUAUAAUGGGA
Molecule: long non-coding RNA, 456 nt
Filed under: Anas platyrhynchos platyrhynchos (common mallard)
Lineage: Eukaryota; Metazoa; Chordata; Aves; Anseriformes; Anatidae
Description: lncRNA (ENSAPLG00000024198.1)
Source: RNAcentral